UCCACCUCCUCUUCCUACACACCAGUAAUAAUUGUCAGCAUAUAUUUCUUGACUGUCUACCAGCUGUUCUCUAAGUUCAUACAAGCACUUCAUAUCGAUAUAUCAAUGAGAAUCUGUGGAUUUUGUCAACAGACUAAUGGGAAGGUAUGAUGUCAAUUCCGUUUCUAUUUUGUUUGGCUUUAGGAUCAUAACGAUCUCUGCACAUUUCCAUUGACUUGGAAAGUGGUCUAGUCUGAGAAUCGCGUUAAAUAUAAGAGUGAGAAACCGAAUGCAUUUUGGUGGUAAACUUUUUAGGGUGAUACCGUCUAUUUUAUCAGGGCCUGGUGCUUUUUUAUUGUUCAAGCAUUUGAUUUCUGUCACAACUUCUACAUAUUUAAUGCUUUUAAUAGGC
RNAcentral lists this long non-coding RNA (391 nucleotides) under Drosophila guanche. Lineage: Eukaryota; Metazoa; Arthropoda; Insecta; Diptera; Drosophilidae. The record is from RNAcentral.